RNAcentral lists this ribosomal RNA (253 nucleotides) under uncultured prokaryote. RNAcentral describes it as "partial 16S ribosomal RNA". It matches the Rfam family "Bacterial small subunit ribosomal RNA", at positions 524 to 776 of the family's 1533-position model. The record is from RNAcentral.
GACAGAGGGUGCAAACGUUGUUCGGAAUUACUGGGCGUAAAGCGCGCGUAGGCGGCAGCGUGUGUCGGGCGUGAAAUCCCACGGCUCAACCGUGGAAGUGCAUCCGAAACUGCAUCGCUGGAGUCUCGGAGAGGAAGGUGGAAUGCUUGGUGUAGAGGUGAAAUUCGUAGAUAUCAAGCAGAACACCUGCGGCGAAGGCGGCCUUCUGGACGAUGACUGACGCUGAGACGCGAAAGCGUGGGGAGCAAACAGG